GGGACUGUAGCUCAGCGGUAGAGCAUCUGCUUGGCAUGCAGAAGGUCCCAGGUUCAAUCCCUGGGAAAUCCCCG
This is a non-coding RNA of Hemicordylus capensis (graceful crag lizard), 74 nucleotides long. NCBI's taxonomy places the organism in Eukaryota, Metazoa, Chordata, Lepidosauria, Squamata, Cordylidae. The record is from the annotation of a RefSeq genome assembly.